GCGGGUUGGGUCGGCUAUCCGAGCUGCCUCUCUGGUCCAGCCGAGAGGAAACGGCGGCCAGUGAGAGUGCUUUUAGGAAAGGCCCGGGCCGUGACUUCUGGGAAGAGUCCCUGGGAAAAAGGGGCGCGUUUCGGGCGCUUUGCGAAAACGCUCCGGCUGGAAACACAAGGCUCCGAGAGGAAGGAGCCGCUCUCCGCUCUGACCCACCCCACCCGCUUCACGCUGGGAACCGACGGGGAGAUCGGGACGUGCCCACUUCAUCACACAGACGAAAACCUCAGGCGCCAGAAUGGGGAGGAACUCGCUCGGAACCAGCCAGGAGCCAAAUGGGGCUCCCGACUCUCCGUUCUGGGAACCUCCGUGUUUUUCUGUUUGAAGAUAGGCGGGAUCGAACAGGAAGGUUUGAGGACGAUCUCUGAGGAUUACUAUUGGCAUAGGACUUCAGACGCCCAUUGUUACCAGCUACUUAUUCGUCUCUUUAUUCAUUUCACAUUCAAUACACUUAUGUGUUGAUUCACUA
This 520-nucleotide long non-coding RNA is filed under the name Rhinopithecus bieti (black snub-nosed monkey). Its description in RNAcentral is "lncRNA (ENSRBIG00000045337.1)". The record is from RNAcentral. Lineage: Eukaryota; Metazoa; Chordata; Mammalia; Primates; Cercopithecidae.